CUUGAUCUCAGAGUGCGUGAGGCGGC
This 26-nucleotide small RNA is filed under the name Bombyx mori (domestic silkworm). RNAcentral's name for it is "ovarian small RNA-15004". The record is from RNAcentral. Lineage: Eukaryota; Metazoa; Arthropoda; Insecta; Lepidoptera; Bombycidae.